AGCUCAAAACCGCAUACUUAUCUGUCACACAGGGGCAAGGCGGUGCAGCUCCACACGGAACGUGCCUAGCUUAGCUUCGCCUACCUAGGCCGCUGCCUGCCGGGCCCUAUAAAUCCCUCGCGCCGCGGCGAGCUGCGGAGGGGAUAUCUCGGCGAGCUGUCUGUCCGUCCGUCGUGUUGCACAAGCUCUCGUCAUUGCUCGCCUCAUUCACAGCUAGCUACUUAGCUACGAGCUCGUGCUGCCGGCCGGCCGGUCAUGUCGUCGACGACGCAGAGCGCGGCCGUGUCGGCGAAAUGCGCGGCGUGGGCGCAGGAGCGGCGGCCGUUCACGCACCCGAUCGAGAUCCCGGCGGCCUCGGGCGCGCCGGACGAGCGGAGGGGCCGCGGCGAGGAGGAGGACGGCGGGGAGGUGGAGCCGCCGCACGUGCUCAUGGCGCGGCGCAGGGCGGCCUCCUCGGUGUGCUCCGGCCAGGGGCGGACGCUCAAGGGCCGGGACCUCACGCGCACGCGCGACUCCGUCCUCCGCAUGACCGGCUUCAUCGAGAGCUAGCCCCUCCUUGCCGCGCGCGCGCGCGCCCGCCUGUCUCGCUCGUGGCCAGCGGCGCGCGGCCGGGCUCAAGGGUCUUCUUGGGUUGAUCCAGUUUGUGUAGUAGAGUAAAUAAGAUAGCUACGGAGCCUAGGGCGGAUGCCGCUGAAUUUUCUUCAAUCGGUCUCAUUUGUGAAUUGGUUGGAAUCGGAAGAGCGAGAUGAAAUUUAAUCCGUUGGUGUAAAACUUAUUCUGUUUGUACGCGCGCGCGUGUGUGUGACAUAUACUACUCCAUAUGUAAAAAAAAACAUAUACUUCAUAUGUAAAAAAUAAUAAGUACAUAUGGUCAAAAUGCAAAUGCAAUGUGGUUUUCCAUCUACACAUCGCUGACUCGCUGCUGAUUCAGUAACUGCGACGCGCGCGCACACUGCACCGGCAUCUAUGUGGACACUGGACUCAUUCAAACAACUACUGGAUCAGCUGUGGGAUUACAUACAUGGGUAACUUCUGAAAAUCCCCAUGCAAGAUAAUACUAGUGCUAGCAUAGGACAAAAAUGGCUGGAUGGGUAGUUGGGUAAUCAGCUUAGAGAGUCCUAGAUAUAUACCCCAUCCAGGCAUCCACCAUCUAAUAAUACUACUAUUAAUACGUACUUACCCUAUCCAAAUACACACCAACAAAGCUAGCUAGGGGAUCAAGUCAAGCAAAGGACGAUGCAACGGGAAGAGCAGGAGGGGGAAGAAUUCCAUGAAGCAGACAUACUGUGGCCAGAGCCAGAUGCAGCCCAGGAUCCGGGCUACUCUGACGACGACGGCGACGAAGGCCAUGACGAGCACUCCGGCGAGUACCGCCGCUUCGCCCGUCCGGCCAAGGCGCCAAACCGGCGGAAAGCGUCUUCCCCUAUCGACAUCCCCGGGAAGACCGGUAAGGCUACUGGUGCAAAGGCGCCGGCUCAUCAGGCCGGGUUGAGCAAGUUCGGCGCGAGCUUUGCGGGCGCCGGCGCCGGCAGCCUGGUGAUCGGCAGCCAUGUCUUCGUGCCGCCGCACGUCAGCGUCGACCGGAGGGCCAAGAGGGACACGGCGAUGCUGAUGCUCCUCGACGCGCCCAAGGUCGGGAGAGUGAGGGCGAUGGUGAUGCUCGACUAAUACCGAAAGUUUUUUUUCCCACCCUACCGAAAGUUUUCGUCGAAAAUGUUCGCUUCAUUUCAAAUAAUUUUGAGCCAUUUUUGUGUAAUUGACGUGAAAGCGAGCUCCUCCUACUGUUUACCUCGAAAUGGCACAGCGAGUC
RNAcentral lists this ribosomal RNA (1810 nucleotides) under Triticum aestivum (bread wheat). RNAcentral describes it as "partial small subunit ribosomal RNA". The record is from RNAcentral. Lineage: Eukaryota; Viridiplantae; Streptophyta; Magnoliopsida; Poales; Poaceae.